This is a long non-coding RNA of Clupea harengus (Atlantic herring), 430 nucleotides long. The record is from Ensembl. Lineage: Eukaryota; Metazoa; Chordata; Actinopteri; Clupeiformes; Clupeidae.
UAGAUGUUAGGUGUUAAGGUUAGGGUUAAAUACAGGUGUUAGGUGUUAAAUACAGAUGUUAGGUGUUAGGGUUAAAUACAGGUGUUAGGUGUUAAAUACAGGUGUUAGGUGUUAAAUACAGAUGUUAGGUGUUAGGUGUUAAAUACAGAUGUUAGGUGUUAAAUACAGAUGUUAGGUGUUAAAUACAGGUGUUAGGUGUUAAAUACAGAUGUUAGGUGUUAGGUGUUAAAUACAGGUGUUAGGUGUUAAAUACAGAUGUUAGGUGUUAAAUACAGGUGUUAGGUGUUAAAUACAGAUGUUAGGUGUUAGGUGUUAAAUACAGGUGUUAGGUGUUAAAUACAGGUGUUAGGUGUUAAAUACAGAUGUUAGGUGUUAAAUACAGGUGUUAGGUGUUAAAUACAGGUGUUAGGUGUUAAAUACAGAUGUCAGG